GAUGAACGCUGGCGGCGUGCCUAAUACAUGCAAGUCGAGCGAACAGACGAGGAGCUUGCUCCUCUGACGUUAGCGGCGGACGGGUGAGUAACACGUGGAUAACCUACCUAUAAGACCGGGAUAACUUCGGGAAACCGGAGCUAAUACCGGAUAAUAUAUUGAACCGCAUGGUUCAAUAGUGAAAGACGGUUUUGCUGUCACUUAUAGAUGGAUCCGCGCCGCAUUAGCUAGUUGGUAAGGUAACGGCUUACCAAGGCAACGAUGCGUAGCCGACCUGAGAGGGUGAUCGGCCACACUGGAACUGAGACACGGUCCAGACUCCUACGGGAGGCAGCAGUAGGGAACCUUCCGCAAUGGGCGAAAGCCUGACGGAGCAACGCCGCGUGAGUGAUGAAGGUCUUCGGAUCGUAAAACUCUGUUAUUAGGGAAGAACAAAUGUGUAAGUAACUAUGCACGUCUUGACGGUACCUAAUCAGAAAGCCACGGCUAACUACGUG
RNAcentral lists this ribosomal RNA (497 nucleotides) under uncultured bacterium. RNAcentral's name for it is "partial 16S ribosomal RNA". It matches the Rfam family "Bacterial small subunit ribosomal RNA", at positions 28 to 507 of the family's 1533-position model. The record is from RNAcentral.